Molecule: long non-coding RNA, 808 nt
Organism: Myotis myotis
Lineage: Eukaryota; Metazoa; Chordata; Mammalia; Chiroptera; Vespertilionidae
Exons: 5
Source: RefSeq, a predicted model, not a curated record
GGUGAGAGGGAGAACCUGCCGCCGCUCGCCGCCUCUUUGUCUGCUCCGGGACUGGGAACAAAGGGGGGAACUCUGAUGAACUCUCCUCCCCUCGCCCCGGACGCCCGGGUAUCUCCCUCUCACAACUUUGCCGCCACGACUUUCUGCGCUGUCAGGCCACACGAAAGUGUCCGCGCGCCUCUCGGACUGCAACAGGGGAACGUCUCUGAAAAUUGUGACCAAGUGGGAGGAAGGUGUAAUUAUUAUUAUCAGCAUCUAGAAAGCAUCACGCAGUGCAUUGCUCCUUCGGGAUCUUCCUAUCAGUGAACGUUAUGGAAGUACCAACACAACGUCACGCCGAUGCUGGAGGAAAAGUUAUCACACUUCUUUGUUUGGAGUUACUUAAAAGUUAAAACGUUGGAAUUUCUAGGCUGCCUUCCCUAUGUGGAUUACUGCAACGUGAUCACUGGGAAUUCUCCACCUGAAAGCACUCUCAGGAGCCUACAGAAGCAUUGACACCCAGCAUGUUCAGCUGGUGCAGGCAUGUUGCGCAAUAUUGCUGACCAGCUCUAGAUCAUGCUGCAUCAGAUGAGGACAUAAAUGCCAAGGGGUUGACUCUACCAAGUAGAUACAUUUCAUGCAGAUGAAUGAAUUGAGUUAAAGACCUGCUAGACUUCCCAUAAGCUGAUCCUGGUCAUCCUAAUUUCUAGCACUCCCCAACUUUAACAAUUGUAUAUCAUACUACCUUCUAUUUUCUAUUUUUUUUAUUGUGACAAUGACUAUUUGUAUGUAACCUGUCAUAAUAAAGCAUCUGCUUUAUCAAAACCAA